GCACUCAUGGAUAUAUUGCUCCAGGUAAACAAUUCCCUUUCUGCUGAUUUAGCUUUUCAAACUUAUUUGCUUUAAUACAGAGCACUCACAGUGGACAAGAAGUCCACAUAUUAAUUCCUCUUAACUAGUAAUACCAAUAAAAUAGGGAAACAAGUCUUAGAAAAGAUCAUUGAUACCCAAAUAAAAAAUGAUGAAAAUGAAUCAUCUUUUUAUAUUACAUUCGUUUAUGCAAGUGUUUUUAUCCACGUUGCGUUCUCUAAAAUUGUUUUCUUUUUUAAUCCAUUUAAUAUAGAACUUGCAUAUACUAUGGUCGU
Molecule: unclassified non-coding RNA, 314 nt
Filed under: Hevea brasiliensis (rubber tree)
Lineage: Eukaryota; Viridiplantae; Streptophyta; Magnoliopsida; Malpighiales; Euphorbiaceae
Source: RNAcentral